UACCAGCACCCCGAGUGGUCGGGACGAUUAUUGGGCCUAAAGCAUCCGUAGCCGGUCUUGCAAGUCUUCCGUUAAAUCCAGCUGCUUAACAGAUGGGCUGCGGAAGAUACUACAAGACUAGGAGGUGGGAGAGGCAAGCGGUACUCAGUGGGUAGGGGUAAAAUCCUCUGAUCCAUUGAAGACCACCAGUGGCGAAGGCGGCUUGCCAGAACGCGCUCGACGGUGAGGGAUGAAAGCUGGGGGAGCAAACCGG
Molecule: ribosomal RNA, 253 nt
Filed under: uncultured bacterium
Lineage: Bacteria
Description: partial 16S ribosomal RNA
Rfam family: Archaeal small subunit ribosomal RNA
Source: RNAcentral